AUGCUUGCUUUGGCAACACAUAUAUUAAAUUGGAAUGAUAACAAAGAAGCAUGUCCCCUGCUCAAGGAUGAAAUGAAAUUCAUGAAAUUUUCCAUAUUAAA
RNAcentral lists this small nuclear RNA (101 nucleotides) under Urocitellus parryii (Arctic ground squirrel). The record is from RNAcentral. Lineage: Eukaryota; Metazoa; Chordata; Mammalia; Rodentia; Sciuridae.